Molecule: ribosomal RNA, 200 nt
Filed under: uncultured bacterium
Lineage: Bacteria
Description: partial 16S ribosomal RNA
Rfam family: Bacterial small subunit ribosomal RNA
Source: RNAcentral
CGGAUUGGAGGCUGAAACCCGCCUCCCAUGAAGUUGGAUUCGCUAGUAAUCGCGCAUCAGCCAUGGCGCGGUGAAUACGUUCCCGGGCCUUGUACACACCGCCCGUCAAGCCAUGGGAGCCGGGGGUGCCUGAAGUUCGUGACCGCAAGGAGCGACCUAGGGCAAAACUGGUGACUGGGGCUAAGUCGUAACAAGGUACC